Molecule: long non-coding RNA, 593 nt
Organism: Quercus lobata
Lineage: Eukaryota; Viridiplantae; Streptophyta; Magnoliopsida; Fagales; Fagaceae
Exons: 3
Source: RefSeq, a predicted model, not a curated record
UGGUCGUUGGCUGGGAAUAUGGUGCAAACAUGUUGAUGAAGUACUUGGCAGAAGCUAGAGAGAAUACAUUGCUUACAGCUGCCAUGUGCAUAGACAAUCCAUUUGACUUAAAGGAGGCUACAAGGUCCUUUCCUUAUCACAUGGCCAUUGGUCAGAAGUUCACUGGUGGACUGAUAGAUAUUCUAAGAUCUAAUAAGGAAACCCCCAAAUCAAAAACCAUAGCCCCUUCCUAUCAAAAAAGAAAAGAAGAAGAAGAAGAAGAAGGAAAACCAUAGCUUCUCAUCUGUUUCUCUCUCCAGUCUCUAUGCUUUGCCUUUAGUGCACCUUCUCCUUUGUCUCUGCUCCUAAUGAUGAAUUGGGAUUGAAGGGAGCAAAAUCAAGAUGCCGUGGACGUCCUCUUUUGAUUCAAAUUCGUAAAAGCUUCCUUACUCUCUUUCUCUCUCCAUGUGGCGUGAGGUCAAAUAUUUGCUUUCUCUGUUCUAAAUAACAAUUUAUAGAACUCAAUGUUUUAUGUUAAAUAAAUAUAUGAUGUACUCUUCUAUAUAAUGCAGAUUUGUUGUAUUAUGUUCUUUCUCUACUCUUUUUGAGUCAUA